This 484-nucleotide ribosomal RNA is filed under the name uncultured bacterium. RNAcentral's name for it is "partial 16S ribosomal RNA". It matches the Rfam family "Bacterial small subunit ribosomal RNA", at positions 29 to 507 of the family's 1533-position model. The record is from RNAcentral.
AUUGAACGCUGGCGGCAUGCUUUACACAUGCAAGUCGAACGGCAGCGCGGGCUUCGGCCUGGCGGCGAGUGGCGAACGGGUGAGUAAUACAUCGGAACGUGCCCAGUAGUGGGGGAUAGCUCGGCGAAAGCCGGAUUAAUACCGCAUACGACCUGAGGGUGAAAGCGGGGGAUCUUCGGACCUCGCGCUAUUUGAGCGGCCGAUGGCAGAUUAGCUAGUUGGUGGGGUAAAGGCCUACCAAGGCGACGAUCUGUAGCUGGUCUGAGAGGACGACCAGCCACACUGGGACUGAGACACGGCCCAGACUCCUACGGGAGGCAGCAGUGGGGAAUUUUGGACGAUGGGCGAAAGCCUGAUCCAGCAAUGCCGCGUGUGUGAUGAAGGCCUUCGGGUUGUAAAGCACUUUUGGCGGGAACGAAAAGGACUGUGCCAAUACCACGGUUCGAUGACGGUACCCGCAGAAUAAGCACCGGCUAACUACGUG